Molecule: non-coding RNA, 609 nt
Organism: Paramuricea clavata
Lineage: Eukaryota; Metazoa; Cnidaria; Anthozoa; Malacalcyonacea; Plexauridae
Source: the annotation of a GenBank genome assembly
AUUCCAGGCGUGGCUUUAAUGACUCUUUGACUGUCGUGGAGUGAACAUCUCUCUGAGUAAACAAAUAUGGAAGCAUUCGAAAUACAAGAUUAAUUGUCAGGCUGCAAAACUUCGUGAAAAUAGCAUGCUAUUGCUGUAUUGUUGCGAUCGUCAUUAUGACUUGUGUUUUACUAUACCAAGUUUACCUUAUAUUAAAUUGCAUGGGACGUGCUGUCAUUUUAGCUUUAUAAAUAAUCCGUCUGUCAAAGCGAAGGAAUUGUGUUUAUAUUCCCAAUUGCGAGGCCCUUCUUUCUAAGUUGGAUGGCGUUAAAUCUCUGUGUAUCAUCAACGUGAAAACUGCAAGAGCAGUAUUUAAGGUUAGUAUAUUACAAUGCAUUUAAUACAGUUGACUUGUUAUUUGGUCAAAUUUCCGCUUUGCUGUUUUCAAUAUAAUUGUACUGUAAUUUUAUAAAUACACUGUACAAAUUAUGGCGUAAUAUUUCUAAUAAUUUAACCUUUAGUUUGCCCCUUCUCCUGAUGAGUUUGCUAACGAAAACACCCAGCAUAUGCUUUUCGAUUUCGAUGUGGAUCAUAUAUUGACAGCGAAUAGUAUUGAUGAUGAACAUUCAG